Molecule: unclassified non-coding RNA, 152 nt
Organism: Chelonoidis abingdonii (Abingdon island giant tortoise)
Lineage: Eukaryota; Metazoa; Chordata; Testudines; Testudinidae
Source: Ensembl
GAGUGAACUUGGCUCUCUAUUUAUCCACAGAACAGGUACAGCACAGGCAGCGGCUAUGCAAGCUUCCUUAUAGCCAGGCCAGUGACCUGGGGGAUUCACCUCUGGGGUUGAGAAGGUACUAGAACAAUAUGUUACACUUCCAUAGUGCUUUG